AUACGUAGGGGGCGAGCGUUGUCCGGAAUGAUUGGGCGUAAAGGGCGCGUAGGCGGCCCGGUAAGUCUGGAGUGAAAGCCCUGUUUUUAAGAUGGGAAUUGCUUUGGAUACUGUCGGGCUUGAGUGCAGGAGAGGUAAGUGGAAUUCCCGGUGUAGCGGUGAAAUGCGUAGAGAUCGGGAGGAACACCAGUGGCGAAGGCGUCUUACUGGGCUGAUACUGACGCUGAGGAGCGCAAGCGUGGGGAGCGAACAGGAUUAGAUACCCUGGUAGUCCAGGCGGUAAACGAUGAAUGGCAGGUGUAGGAGGUAGCGACCCCUUCUAUGCCGGAGUAAACACAAUAAGCAUGCCGCCUGGGGAGUUCGGCCGCAAGGUGGAAACUCAAAUGAAUUGGCGUGG
Molecule: ribosomal RNA, 397 nt
Filed under: uncultured bacterium
Lineage: Bacteria
Description: partial 16S ribosomal RNA
Rfam family: Bacterial small subunit ribosomal RNA
Source: RNAcentral